Cryptomeria japonica (Japanese cedar) is the source of this 5923-nucleotide long non-coding RNA. RefSeq lists it as uncharacterized. NCBI's taxonomy places the organism in Eukaryota, Viridiplantae, Streptophyta, Pinopsida, Cupressales, Cupressaceae. The record is from RefSeq and is a predicted model, not a curated record. The transcript has 5 exons.
UUCUUCCUAAGCUACGCCCUUGUUUCCAAAGCGCAAAUUAUCUAGUGAAAUUGUCAUGGUAUGAUCGCACAACGAGCAAUCCUUCAUUUGGGUAGCCAACGCAAGCUUUUCCGGCAGAAUGUUUCGCACGUCAGAGGCGACUCAGAAAUUUUAACCCCGUAUAGAAUGAUUGCGCUCUCGAUAUUCUUUCCUCCUUUGUUUGGGGAUGAAUUGAUAAUUAUUUAAUUGGUGGACGAAUUUCGGUGUUGGUUUUGGAGAGUGCGAAAACAUUUGUAGGGUUUUCUUCGACAUUUUCAUCGCAACUGGUGAAAGGCGAGACCUUUCCCUACCCCUUAUCCCAUUUUUUUUCUCGUUAGUGUUAUUCUACCAUUAUCCCUAAAAUUGGAGGUUAUUAGUAAAUGUGCUCUGUUUACCCAUUGGCUGGGGCAAAUCGACAUGAAAAUUGCUCUGGGGCAAAUCGACAUUCCUCCAUUUUAAAUAGAUUGCUUCGAAUAUCCUUUACAUUUGGCGCACAUUUUUGUACAGUUUCAGAGAAUUGGUAGCUAAUUGCCACUGGCUAUUCAGCAUUAGGGAUUCAUUUUUUGGAAAAAUAAUCAUUAAUUAAAAUCUAGCAAUACAUAAUACUGUUGAAUUACAAUUAAUUUAGUGUUAUAAGUUUCCAUGCCCGGUUCUCACUGAUUCCAGUAGUUCAAAGAUUAUAUGUCAUUUGUUCCAGACGCUUCCCCUGCACCUAGAAUCCCCAUUCUUUUGGGACAGGGACUUAGAAGGGGAAGAGUUCUCCCCUGUCCCGCCACUGUCACUCAACACUCAUGGACGUUUUCGGGAUGCCCUCUUGUUUGGGGAUGGCUUGGGGGCUCCAGGACAAGGUCAACAUGUCCAAGGGAUUCCAAGAAGUCUCCCAUCUAUCUCAGGGACUUUCAGGUGACCCUAUGGCAGUAAAAUAAAAAGUUCAAUAUUCUUUUAACAUCAAAAACUGUUUUCAAUUUGCAUCCACAAACCCUAACCCGAAUGAUAACUGAAAAUAUGGUGCUGAUUCCCGAUGCAAUUAACAAAGUUGAUUUUCUACAUGUAUGUUUUUAAAUAUUCUAUUAAUAGUUUUCAGCAGUUCUUCCCUAGGUUUUUGAAUGGAUUGAAGAGUUUAGAGGUUCACUUUUGCACAGCUAGGGUUAUCAUUGACUGUGAUGGCACAUACACAAUAGAUGAUAAGGAAUUGCUCUGUGAUUGAUAAAAGUUAAAAACUGUUGAGAGCAAGACCCCUGGGAUAGUGAUUUUAUCAAUCAGGACUAAUUGUACUGACAAUGGCACAACGAUUGAAAGAUUAAUCCCUAUGACAAGAGUGGAAUUAUGAUUGUGCACCAAAAUGGAUCAUGCACAGUGAAACUAUAAACAAAAGUGUGUUUCUCUAACUAGUAAAAUAAUGAACAGAAAUCUGCUGUUUGUUUCACUUAAUUGCUUACCUGCUAAUUGAUUGCAGGGUCAUCAAAUAUUCUUAUAUGUUACAGAUGCCUUUUUCGAGCUAGUUUUGGAUAUCCUGUGACCAUUUUCUCAGUUUGUCAUGCUAGAGAUCUGGAUUUCUGGUCUAUGCAACCAGCCUGGAAGUGAUUAAAAUUUGCAUUAGAAAAUUUAGUAAUCUUAAAGCGAACUGAAAUAGAUGCUGUUUUUAAAUUAAUUGUAUUUCAUGAAGCAGUUAAUCAAAGAACGAUUUUGCCUAUUUUAUAGCAUUUACAGCAAAUGUUGCCUUCAAAAUGUUUUGUUCACAAACGGUUACCAAUUGAUUAUCUUUUCCCUUCUUUAAUAAUGUUUAAUUCAAAAGUGGCCUAUCUAGCUUGAGAAACUGCUAGUCUUCUUACCUGUUUAUAACAUGAAUUAAUGUCAUUGAAGCAAUAUUAUCACACGUUCAAAGAGUUUGAACAGUUAAUAACUAGAUCAAGAUGUGUUAAGAACUUAAAACUGACUGCUUAUGGACUAUGCAAAUGUGUACCUAAUUUAUCACUUGUUUGUUUGCAGCAUUUCCAAGUCCAAUACAUAUCAACUUUUAAAGCCACAGUUUGAUAUAGCACUUUUUGAAAUUAUCUUCCCUCUUAUUUUCUUAAAUUGUAAUGAUGAGAUCUCUGGUGUGAAGACCCUCAUGAAUAUGUCAGGAAAGGUUAUGGUGGGUUGUUGCCCUUUUUUUGGCAACACAUGUCAUUUUUUAUCUGUCCAGAAAAUGCAACUGUUAUUGUAAAAGUUUUUGGAAAAUCUGUGUGAGCUUAGAAAAACUUAUUAAUUAAGCAUUUUGUCGAAUUCAUUUCUUCUAUAUUAUUUGUUUGGCAAAGCUUUCCUUCCUUAGGAUAUAUGUGUUGUCAGAUAUUAUAAUUUAUUGAAGAUCUGUACAGUCCGCGCACUCCAUCCAUUGAUUGCAGAGCUAGUAGGAAACAUGGAAAAGAAACCUCCAGAGAUUCGUUUCCUUUGUUAGAAAAAAAUUUGUCAGCUAUGAUGGGGCAGCUCAAUGCUACAAACCAUAUAGGCAAAAAGAUGAUGCUCUUUUAGCCAUAGGGGCCUUAUGUGAUAAGAUGAAGUGGACUGAGCCAUACAAACCUCAAAUUGAACAAAUGCUAGUGGAGCAUGUAUUUCCUGAAAUUAAAAACCAAGUUAGUCAUUUGAGAGAAAAGGAUCGCAGCGGAAUUCCUGUAAACUGAUCCUAGACGCGUAUUCCCAGCCUAAGGAAAUCGUAUGCAGUGGAUGUCAACCAAUGGCUAGUGAUUAGAGCAGCGUAUAUUCAGACUGAAGUCCAGACGUGAUUUUUCCUCAGCGAUUUCCUCCCCUUUAUAUCUCUCAAUUUGAGGGAGAGGUCACACCUCUUCAUCAUGUAUGCCCUUUGGAAAGAGUGCAACUCUUCAUUAUUUCUACCCUUUGAAAGGGACACAGGCUUUCAUAAUCAGAUGUGCACUUAUUAUUUAAAUCAGAUCUGCACUUCUCAUUUUCAAAUUAUCCCCCCUCUCAAAUGAGGUUCUCUUCUCCCUUUUAUAUUUCAUUGUUGAGGGAGUCACAACUUUUCCUUUCAUGUCUUUUGACUUUUCAUUAACUUAAUUAAUUUUUAAUUAAUCAUAUUUAAUUAUAUUAUUUUAUAUUUUAAUUUAAAUUUUAAUGUCUUAAUUUUAUUAUUAUCAUUUAUUAUUAAAUUCUAUUUCAAAGUUGGGACAUUACAUGUAGAACUUGAGCCAUUUUACUUUUCUGAUAACUCAGUUUCGUUCUUGAAUAAUCUGAAUACAUCUUUUGGAUUGCUAAUUCUUCAAUAUUCAAAAUUGAUUUAUUAUUCAUUACAGUUCGAGAUGAGGCACUAUAUAGCAUUUUCCAUUACAUGGUUUUUGGAAGUUGGUGAAAAAUUUGAAUAGUUGUUACCUAUUCCCUUGAAGUGGGAUUUUAUUUCCAAGUAAAAUUUCAUCUUCAGGUCAGUCCGAGUGUGAUGCUAAUAUACUUGCAGUAUCAGUCCAUUCCCUUGAAGUGGGAUUUUAUUUCCAAGUAAAAUUUCAUCUUCAGGUCAGUCCGAGUGUGAUGCUAAUAUACUUGCAGUAUCAGUCCAUUGCAUAGUUGGUAAUGCAUAUAUCAGUGCUGAAUAUGCUUUCAGCAUUUACAAACAAACUUGGGCUGUUUGAGGGAUUUUGCAUUUUGGAUUUUGAAAGCUUGGCCGCGCACUUGAAAUGUAACUUGGAGGGUUGCUCCACUAAGAGUAAUGAACUGCUUUUAGCUUGUUUUAGUGCUUGCAUUUACCCUUGCUGUUCAGGCAUAAUGCUGAGCUGUUUGUAUCAUUCCUACCUUGAGACAAGUUAUGAUGUGAUGUACGAAGGACCCUUCCAAGGUAAUAAGAAACUUCAGAUAAAUGGAUUGCUUCGAAUAUCCUUUACAUUUGGCACAGAUUUUUUUACAGUUUCAGAGAAUUGGUAGCUGAUUGCCACUGGCUGUUUAGCAUUAGGGAUACAUUUGUUGCAAAAACAAUCAUUAAUUAAAAUCUAGCAAUACAUAAUACUGUUGAAUUAUAAUUAAUUUAGUGCUAUAAGUUCCCAUGCCUGGUUCUCACUAAUUCCAGUAGCUCAAAGAUUAUAUGUCAUUGUCUCAGACGCCUUCCCUGCCCCUAGAAUCCCCAUGUUUUUGGGACAGGGACUUAGAAGGGGAUGAGUUCUCCCCUGUCCCGCCACUGCCACUCAACACCCAUGGACGUUGUCGGGAUGCCCUCUGGUUAGGGUAUGGCUUGGGGGCUCCUAGGGAUUCGAAGGAGUCUCCCAUCUAUCUCAGGGACUUUCAGGGGAUCCCAUGGCAGUAAAAUAAAAAAAAUAGUAUUUUUUUUAAUAUCAAAAAGUGUUUUCAAUUUGCAUCUGUAAGCCCUAACCCAAAUGGUCUAUGAGCUCCACCCAAACCCUAAGCACUUACAAAAGAUUUAUAAAUAGGCAUAUAACUUCUAAGCCUCAUUUCAGAUCACUCACAAGUUUCAGAAUAGUAAGAUGCUACCAGCAGAUAAAGCAACAGUUUAUUCUGGCAAUAACUGAUUUAUCUUGAUUUAAUUUUUCCCACAAAUAUGUUUAUGUAUUCUGUUAGCAUAGAAUUUGGCAAUCUAAUUGGUGCAAAUCCAUGUUCUUAUUUCUAUUUAACUAAGAGAAAUUAUUUUCUUAAUUGUUAAGUAUAUUCACAUGCAGAUUAUGCCUGCUAUAUCUCAUUUGGGCAGACUCUAGUUUUCUAUGCAUCAGGUUGCAUAAUUUACAUUUUUUUAUUUGAUGACUCAAAAUCACGACUUCAAUGAAUGCACACAUGCCUAUUUUGUAAACAUAUUAUGUCAUUUUGUGCAUUGUGUACUGCCUAUUGCUCUGAGUGAUACCAAAGUUGUAAUUUUUUUCUAAUUUGGCUUGAAAUUAUUUGUAUAAUUUCUUGUUUUUCCAACCUGAUUUGCUCUAGAUAUCCUCUUGGUUUGACUUACACCUACUACACAUAUUAUAUCAUUUUGUACAUGUAUUACAGGUUUUUGAACCUAGUGAUACCAAACUCAUUGGAUUUUUUCUAAAUUGUUUUAAAAAUGUUUGUGCUAUUUUUGGAUUUUCUGAUUCGAUUUGCUUAUCGCAGACAUGCCUCUUUUGUAAACAUAUACUUUGUUUUGUGCAUGUUUUAAUGCUUUUCUCUUUGAGUGAUGCCACAAUCACAGUAUUUUCUUUUUUAAUCUGUAUCAAAAUUGCUUAUGCAGUUUUUGGUUUUCUGGUAAUUUCCUUUUGGUGUUCUAUUUAUUUGCCAAUUUUUCAUCAAAAUUACAAGUUGUAGAUGCAAUUACCUUAUUUUAGUUAUUUUUAAGGGCUGUAAUACAACUGAUUUGCAUAUCCUGCCUAUUAUAAAUGCAGAUUAUCCAGAGAAAUGGCCUAGCCUUCUUCCUUGGGUCUAACAAAUUUGCAAGAUCAGCAAGUAUAUGCUGUUGUUUAUGUCCUAAGAAUUCUUUCAAGUAUGAUUAGAGGUGCCCAAGCAACUCUUUGAUCCCCAACAUUUUUAAUGCUUGGAUGGUCUUGCUUUUAGCUAUGCUGGAAAGACCUUUUUAAGGAAGGGCAACUAACUAAUCCAGAACAAUGCAAAUCCAGGGAAUGGUGAAAAGUAAAGAAGUGGACAGUGCAUAUUCUGAAUUGAUUAUACACAUGAUUUGCAGAUCCAAAGCUCCUUAAGCCAGAGAACAAGCCUUCUGCUCAAAUGUUUCAGAAGCAUUUUGCAGGGAAAAUUUUAGAGUGCCAUCUUAACUUGUUGAAUGUUAUUUGUCAGGGUGGUUACCUUCCAGAUAGUCUAACCAAUCUUAUCCUCCAGUAUUUGUGCAACAGGCAGGUUUUGCUAAGUUCUGCAUAAACAGUGCAUUUUCUGUGAACUUGCUAUGUUUUAUACUUGUAUGUAUCUUUAUUGCCUGUAAAAACAUACGACUAGU